CAGGCCUAACACAUGCAAGUCGAGCGGGCACUUCGGUGUCAGCGGCGGACGGGUGAGUAACGCGUGGGAACGUGCCUUCUGGUCUGGAAUAACCCAGGGAAACUUGGGCUAAUACCGGAUACGCCCUUAUGGGGAAAGGUUUACUGCCGGAAGAUCGGCCCGCGUCUGAUUAGCUUGUUGGUGGGGUAACGGCCUACCAAGGCGACGAUCAGUAGCUGGUCUGAGAGGAUGAUCAGCCACACUGGGACUGAGACACGGCCCAGACUCCUACGGGAGGCAGCAGUGGGGAAUAUUGGACAAUGGGCGCAAGCCUGAUCCAGCCAUGCCGCGUGAGUGAUGACGGCCUUAGGGUUGUAAAGCUCUUUCGCACGCGACGAUAAUGAC
This 384-nucleotide ribosomal RNA is filed under the name uncultured bacterium. Its description in RNAcentral is "bacterial SSU rRNA". It matches the Rfam family "Bacterial small subunit ribosomal RNA", at positions 43 to 455 of the family's 1533-position model. The record is from RNAcentral.